GAUGAACGCUGGCGGCGUGCUUAACACAUGCAAGUCGAACGGUGAAAGAGAGCUUGCUCUCUGGAUCAGUGGCGAACGGGUGAGUAACACGUAAGCAAUCUGCCCCUGACUCUGGGAUAAGCGCUGGAAACGGCGUCUAAUACCGGAUACGAGCUGCGAAGGCAUCUUCAGCAGCUGGAAAGAACUUCGGUCAGGGAUGAGCUCGCGGCCUAUCAGCUAGUUGGUGAGGUAACGGCUCACCAAGGCGUCGACGGGUAGCCGGCCUGAGAGGGUGACCGGCCACACUGGGACUGAGACACGGACCAGAGUCCUACGGGAGGCAGCAGUGGGGAAUAUUGCACAAUGGGCGAAAGCCUGAUGCAGCAACGCCGCGUGAGGGACGACGGCCUUCGGGUUGUAAACCUCUUUUAGCAGGGAAGAAGCGAAAGUGACGGUACCUGCAGAAAAAGCACCGGCUAACUACGUG
This 466-nucleotide ribosomal RNA is filed under the name uncultured bacterium. Its description in RNAcentral is "partial 16S ribosomal RNA". It matches the Rfam family "Bacterial small subunit ribosomal RNA", at positions 28 to 507 of the family's 1533-position model. The record is from RNAcentral.